AGAUUGAACUGAAGAGUUUGAUCAUGGCUCAGAUUGAACGCUGGCGGCAGGCUUAACACAUGC
This 63-nucleotide ribosomal RNA is filed under the name Oleiphilus sp. HI0068. RNAcentral's name for it is "partial 16S ribosomal RNA". Lineage: Bacteria; Pseudomonadati; Pseudomonadota; Gammaproteobacteria; Oceanospirillales; Oleiphilaceae. The record is from RNAcentral.